GACGAACGCUGGCGGCGUGCUUAACACAUGCAAGUCGAACGGAAAGGCCCUGCUUUUGUUGGUUGCUCGAGUGGCGAACGGGUGAGUAACACGUGAGUAACCUGCCCUUGACUUUGGGAUAACUUCAGGAAACUGGGGCUCAUACCGCAUAUGAGCUCCUGCUGCAUGGUGUGGGUUGGAAAGUUUCGGCGGUUGUGUAUGGACUCGCGGCUUAUCCGCUUGUUUGUGGGGUAGUUGCUUACCAAGGCUUUGACGGGUAGCCGGCCUGAGAGGGUUACCGGCGACAUUGGGACUGAGAUACGGACCAGACUCCUACGGGAGGCAGCAGUGGGGAAUAUUGCACAAUGGGCGGAAGCCUGAUGCAGCAACGCCGCGUGCGGGAUGACGGCCUUCGGGUUGUAAACCGCUUUCGCCGGUGACGAAGAGUGAGUGACGGUAAUGGGUAAAGAAGCAACGGCUAACUACGUG
RNAcentral lists this ribosomal RNA (468 nucleotides) under uncultured bacterium. Its description in RNAcentral is "partial 16S ribosomal RNA". It matches the Rfam family "Bacterial small subunit ribosomal RNA", at positions 28 to 507 of the family's 1533-position model. The record is from RNAcentral.